GAAUUGUUCGCAAUGGGCGAAAGCCUGACGACGCAACGCCGCGUGGAGGAUGAAGACCUUCGGGUCGUAAACUCCUUUCGACCGAGAUGAAUACCUGCCGACCUAAUACGUCGGCAGGCUGACAGUAACGAGGGAAGAACCCCCGUCCAACUCCGUGCCCGCAGCCGCGGUAAUACGGGGGGGGCAAGCGUUGUUCGGAAUUACUGGGCGUAAAGGGUUCGUAGGUGGCCAACUAAGUCAGACGUGAAAUCCCUCGGCUCAACCGGGGAACCGCGUCUGAUACUGGUUGGCUUGAGUGCAGGAGAGGAACGCGGAAUUCCAGGUGUAGCGGUGAAAUGCGUAGAUAUCUGGAGGAACACCGGUGGCGAAGGCGGCGUUCUGGACUGCAACUGACACUGAGGAACGAAAGCCAGGGGAGCAAACGGG
RNAcentral lists this ribosomal RNA (426 nucleotides) under uncultured bacterium. RNAcentral describes it as "bacterial SSU rRNA". It matches the Rfam family "Bacterial small subunit ribosomal RNA", at positions 359 to 776 of the family's 1533-position model. The record is from RNAcentral.